GUCCGCUUCGGCGGUACAUGUCCUAAAAUCGGAACGAUACAGAAAAGAUUAGCAUGGCUCCUACACAAGGAUAACAUGCCAAGUCGUGAAGCAUUCCAUAUUCUA
Molecule: small nuclear RNA, 105 nt
Filed under: Trichobilharzia regenti
Lineage: Eukaryota; Metazoa; Platyhelminthes; Trematoda; Strigeidida; Schistosomatidae
Source: RNAcentral